RNAcentral lists this ribosomal RNA (462 nucleotides) under uncultured bacterium. RNAcentral describes it as "partial 16S ribosomal RNA". It matches the Rfam family "Bacterial small subunit ribosomal RNA", at positions 28 to 507 of the family's 1533-position model. The record is from RNAcentral.
GAUAAACGCUGGCGGCGUGCUUAACACAUGCAAGUCGAACGAAGUUUUUCCUUCGGGAGAAACUUAGUGGCGGACGGGUGAGUAACGCGUGGGUAACCUGCCCUGUACAGGGGGACAACAGCUGUAAACGGCUGCUAAUACCGCAUAAGCCCUUAGCACUGCAUGGUGCAUAGGGAAAAGGAGCAAUCCGGUACGGGAUGGACCCGCGUCUGAUUAGCCAGUUGGCAGGGUAACGGCCUACCAAAGCGACGAUCAGUAGCCGAUCUGAGAGGAUGUACGGCCACAUUGGGACUGAGACACGGCCCAGACUCCUACGGGAGGCAGCAGUGGGGAAUAUUGCACAAUGAAGGAAACUCUGAUGCAGCGACGCCGCGUGAGUGAAGAAGUAUUUCGGUAUGUAAAGCUCUAUCAGCAGGGAAGAAAAUGACGGUACCUGACUAAGAAGCACCGGCUAAAUACGUG